This 170-nucleotide ribosomal RNA is filed under the name Mulloidichthys flavolineatus (yellowstripe goatfish). RNAcentral describes it as "partial 12S rRNA". Lineage: Eukaryota; Metazoa; Chordata; Actinopteri; Syngnathiformes; Mullidae. The record is from RNAcentral.
CACCGCGGUUAUACGAGAGGCCCAAGUUGAUAGGCACCGGCGUAAAGGGUGGUUAGGGAUCACUAUAAAAUAAAGCCGAAUAUCUUCAACGCUGUUAUACGCCCCCGAAGAUUCGAAGCCCCGUUACGAAAGUAGCUUUACCUUCCCCCGAACCCACGAAAGCCAGGGUA